CUACGGGAGGCACCAGUGAGGAAUAUUGCACAAUGGGGGAAACCCUGAUGCAGCAACGCCGCGUGGAGGAUGACGCAUUUCGGCGUGUAAACUCCUUUUAUAUGUCAAGAAAAUGACGGUAGCAUAUGAAUAAGCACCGGCUAACUCCGUGCCAGCAGCCGCGGUAAUACGGAGGGUGCAAGCGUUACUCGGAAUCACUGGGCGUAAAGGACGCGUAGGCUGGUUGGUAAGUCAGGUGUGAAAUCCUACAGCUUAACUGUAGAACUGCACUUGAAACUACCAACCUAGAGCAUGGGAGGGGGAGAUGGAAUUAGUGGUGUAGGGGUAAAAUCCGUAGAUAUCACUAGGAAUACCGAAAGCGAAGGCGAUCUCCUGGAACAUAACUGACGCUAAGGCGUGAAAGCGUGGGGAGCAAACAGGAUUAGAUACCCUCGUAGUC
This 439-nucleotide ribosomal RNA is filed under the name uncultured bacterium. Its description in RNAcentral is "partial 16S ribosomal RNA". It matches the Rfam family "Bacterial small subunit ribosomal RNA", at positions 339 to 795 of the family's 1533-position model. The record is from RNAcentral.